Molecule: microRNA, 21 nt
Filed under: Ananas comosus (pineapple)
Lineage: Eukaryota; Viridiplantae; Streptophyta; Magnoliopsida; Poales; Bromeliaceae
Description: microRNA s0304_c102
Source: RNAcentral
CUCGAAUCCUGCUUCCUUCAC